Molecule: small nuclear RNA, 162 nt
Organism: Peromyscus maniculatus bairdii (prairie deer mouse)
Lineage: Eukaryota; Metazoa; Chordata; Mammalia; Rodentia; Cricetidae
Gene: U1
Rfam family: U1 spliceosomal RNA
About the family: U1 is a small nuclear RNA (snRNA) component of the spliceosome (involved in pre-mRNA splicing). Its 5' end forms complementary base pairs with the 5' splice junction, thus defining the 5' donor site of an intron. There are significant differences in sequence and secondary structure between metazoan and yeast U1 snRNAs, the latter being much longer (568 nucleotides as compared to 164 nucleotides in human).
Source: Ensembl
AUACUUACCUGGUAGGGGAAAUACCAUGAUCACAAAGUAGCCCUCCUAGAACAAGUCUUAUCCAUUGCACUCCAAAUGUACUGAGCUGACCCCUGUAAUUUCCCCAAAUGCAGGAAACUUGGCUGAAGGAAAGAAAAGGAAAAGAUCUCUUAUUGUUCUUGC